AGCUUGCUCCCGGAUGUUAGCGGCGGACGGGUGAGUAACACGUGGGUAACCUGCCUGUAAGACUGGGAUAACUCCGGGAAACCGGAGCUAAUACCGGAUAGUUCCUUGAACCGCAUGGUUCAAGGAUGAAAGACGGUUUCGGCUGUCACUUACAGAUGGACCCGCGGCGCAUUAGCUAGUUGGUGGGGUAAUGGCUCACCAAGGCGACGAUGCGUAGCCGACCUGAGAGGGUGAUCGGCCACACUGGGACUGAGACACGGCCCAGACUCCUACGGGAGGCAGCAGUAGGGAAUCUUCCGCAAUGGACGAAAGUCUGACGGAGCAACGCCGCGUGAGUGAUGAAGGUUUUCGGAUCGUAAAGCUCUGUUGUUAGGGAAGAACAAGUGCGAGAGUAACUGCUCGCACCUUGACGGUACCUAACCAGAAAGCCACGGCUAACUACGUGCCAGCAGCCGCGGUAAUACGUAGGUGGCAAGCGUUGUCCGGAAUUAUUGGGCGUAAAGGGCUCGCAGGCGGUUUCUUAAGUCUGAUGUGAAAGCCCCCGGCUCAACCGGGGAGGGUCAUUGGAAACUGGGAAACUUGAGUGCAGAAGAGGAGAGUGGAAUUCCACGUGUAGCGGUGAAAUGCGUAGAGAUGUGGAGGAACACCAGUGGCGAAGGCGACUCUCUGGUCUGUAACUGACGCUGAGGAGCGAAAGCGUGGGGAGCGAACAGGAUUAGAUACCCUGGUAGUCCACGCCGUAAACGAUGAGUGCUAA
RNAcentral lists this ribosomal RNA (757 nucleotides) under Bacillus pumilus. Its description in RNAcentral is "bacterial SSU rRNA". It matches the Rfam family "Bacterial small subunit ribosomal RNA", at positions 77 to 819 of the family's 1533-position model. Lineage: Bacteria; Bacillati; Bacillota; Bacilli; Caryophanales; Bacillaceae. The record is from RNAcentral.